AGUGAACGCUGGCGGUAGGCCUAACACAUGCAAGUCGAACGGCAGCACAGUAAGAGCUUGCUCUUACGGGUGGCGAGUGGCGGACGGGUGAGGAAUACAUCGGAAUCUACUUUUUCGUGGGGGAUAACGUAGGGAAACUUACGCUCAUACCGCAUACGACCUACGGGUGAAAGCAGGGGAUCUUCGGACCUUGCGCGAUUGAAUGAGCCGAUGUCGGAUUAGCUAGUUGGCGGGGUAAAGGCCCACCAAGGCGACGAUCCGUAGCUGGUCUGAGAGGAUGAUCAGCCACACUGGAACUGAGACACGGUCCAGACGCCUACGGGAGGCAGCAGUGGGGAAUAUUGGACAAUGGGGGCAAGCCUGAUCCAGCCAUACCGCGUGGGUGAAGAAGGCCUUCGGGUUGUAAAGCCCUUUUGUUGGGAAAGAAAAGCAGCAGGUUAAUACCCCGCUGUUCUGACGGUACCCAAAGAAGAAGCACCGGCUAACUUCGUG
RNAcentral lists this ribosomal RNA (492 nucleotides) under uncultured bacterium. Its description in RNAcentral is "partial 16S ribosomal RNA". It matches the Rfam family "Bacterial small subunit ribosomal RNA", at positions 29 to 507 of the family's 1533-position model. The record is from RNAcentral.